This 302-nucleotide ribosomal RNA is filed under the name uncultured bacterium. RNAcentral's name for it is "partial 16S ribosomal RNA". It matches the Rfam family "Bacterial small subunit ribosomal RNA", at positions 508 to 807 of the family's 1533-position model. The record is from RNAcentral.
GCAGCAGCCACGGGAAUACGAAGGGGGCUAGCGUUGUUCGGAUUUACUGGGCGUAAAGGGCGCGUAGGCGGACUGAUAAGUCAGGGGUGAAAUCCCAAGGCUCAACCUUGGAACUGCCUUUGAUACUGUUUGUCUUGAGUUCGAGAGAGGUAAGUGGAACUGCGAGUGUAGAGGUGAAAUUCGUAGAUAUUCGCAAGAACACCAGUGGCGAAGGCGGCUUACUGGCUCGAUACUGACGCUGAGGCGCGAAAGCGUGGGGAGCAAACAGGAUUAGAUACCCCUGUAGUCCCUGUCUCUUAUAC